This 497-nucleotide ribosomal RNA is filed under the name uncultured bacterium. RNAcentral describes it as "partial 16S ribosomal RNA". It matches the Rfam family "Bacterial small subunit ribosomal RNA", at positions 28 to 507 of the family's 1533-position model. The record is from RNAcentral.
GAUGAACGCUGGCGGCGUGCCUAAUACAUGCAAGUCGAGCGAACAGACGAGGAGCUUGCUCCUCUGACGUUAGCGGCGGGCGGGUGAGUAACACGUGGAUAACCUACCUAUAAGACUGGGAUAACUUCGGGAAACCGGAGCUAAUACCGGAUAAUAUAUUGAACCGCAUGGUUCAAUAGUGAAAGACGGUUUUGCUGUCACUUAUAGAUGGAUCCGCGCCGCAUUAGCUAGUUGGUAAGGUAACGGCUUACCAAGGCAACGAUGCGUAGCCGACCUGAGAGGGUGAUCGGCCACACUGGAACUUAGACACGGUCCAGACUCCUACGGGAGGCAGCAGUAGGGAAUCUUCCGCAAUGGGCGAAAGCCUGACGGAGCAACGCCGCGUGAGUGAUGAAGGUCUUCGGAUCGUAAAACUCUGUUAUUAGGGAAGAACAAAUGUGUAAGUAACUAUGCACGUCUUGACGGUACCUAAUCAGAAAGCCACGGCUAACUACGUG